Molecule: ribosomal RNA, 820 nt
Filed under: Nidalia sp. NTM-C014876
Lineage: Eukaryota; Metazoa; Cnidaria; Anthozoa; Malacalcyonacea; Nidaliidae
Description: eukaryotic LSU rRNA
Rfam family: Eukaryotic large subunit ribosomal RNA
Source: RNAcentral
AAACCGUUGAAAGGGAAGCGAAUGGAGUUAGCAAUUCGCUCUGCCAGACUCAGUCGCUUGCGCUUCGCGACGUGCAUGUUCUCGAUCCGUAAUUUGGACGAGACGUGCGCGGGUGSGAUGUGCGGACGGCGCACUUCUGGCGAGCGAGCGUCAGCGUCGGUUGUCGACGGGCGAUAAGGACGCAGGGAAGGUGAACCGAUYAUCGCGAUCGGUUGUUAAGCCUUGCGCUCGCAUAGCUCGACGGCGACCGUGGCCCCUUCUCACUUACCAUGAGGAAGGCGACGCGUGCCUGGCUGGCGACUCUCGCCCUCGGUCCGGCAUGUCGACUGUGGCGGACGGCACGCCUGUGCGCUCGAACUGCUGCCGGUCGACGGAGGGAUGUUCGCACACUACGCGUCGAAGAUGCUGACGACCAUACGGCUCCAUCCGACCCGUCUUGAAACACGGACCAAGGAGUCUAACAUGUGCGCAAGUCUCCGGGUGAUCGAAACCCGUGGGCAUAAUGAAAGUAAAGAUCGUCUUUGUUACGAUUGAGGUGAGAAGCCGUGUCGUGUCUUCAUCGACGCGGCCGCAUCAUCGACCGACCUAUUCUGCUCUCAGAAAGGUUUGAGUAAGAGCGUAUCUGUUGGGACCCGAAAGAUGGUGAACUAUGCCUGAAUAGGGUGAAGCCAGCGGAAACACUGGUGGAAGCUCGUAGCGAUUCUGACGUGCAAAUCGAUCGUCGAAUUUGGGUAUAGCGGCGAAAGACUAAUCGAACCAUCUAGUAGCUGGUUCCCUCCGAAGUUUCCCUCAGGAUAGCUGGAGUUCAUUGUAAUGCAGU